GGAGGGUAUAGCUCAGUGGUAGAGCACAUGCUUAACAUGCAUGAGGUCUUGGGUUCAAUCCUCAGUACCUCCA
RNAcentral lists this transfer RNA (73 nucleotides) under Vicugna pacos (alpaca). RNAcentral describes it as "tRNA-Val (AAC) (tRNA-Val-AAC-36-1)". It matches the Rfam family "tRNA". Rfam says of the family: Transfer RNA (tRNA) molecules are approximately 80 nucleotides in length. Their secondary structure includes four short double-helical elements and three loops (D, anti-codon, and T loops). The record is from RNAcentral. Lineage: Eukaryota; Metazoa; Chordata; Mammalia; Artiodactyla; Camelidae.